RNAcentral lists this ribosomal RNA (215 nucleotides) under uncultured bacterium. RNAcentral's name for it is "partial 16S ribosomal RNA". It matches the Rfam family "Bacterial small subunit ribosomal RNA", at positions 320 to 524 of the family's 1533-position model. The record is from RNAcentral.
CCAGCAGCCGCGGUAAUUCCUACGGGAGGCAGCAGUGGGGAAUUUUGGCACACAAUGGGCGCAAGCCUGAUCCAGUAAUGCCGCGUGAGUGAAGAAGGCCUUCGGGUUGUAAAGCUCUUUCAGUCGAGAAGAAAAAGCUGCAGUGAAUAACUGUAGUUCAUGACGGUAUCGACAGAAGAAGCACCGGCUAACUACGUGCCAGCAGCCGCGGUAAU